AGAUCUGGAAUCGUUGCUCACCGGAGCUUUGAGCGGCAGCGGCGUUGUUGUAUUAUUAUUCGCCGGCGAUGGAGCCACGCCGGAGAAGAAAGAGAGAAAGAGCUGGACGGAAUACCUACAAAAUGAACCAAAAUCGUAAAGGGGAAGGGGAAGGGACUGAUUCGUUUAGCUCCGGUUCAUCGGAGCUUUGAGCUCCUCACCGGAGCUGCUGCCCAGAAAUUGGGAAAAACAAAGGGGGAUUUUGGAUUGGGGUUUAUCGGAGUUCGGCGGUUGAUUCAGCUCGCCGACAAUGGUGAUUUGAGGAGGAAAAUGGAGUUCUGGUUGCUGAACUCUAGUUGUUUCGUUGGAGCUCAUCGACUUUGAGCCAAAAUACCUUAAAAUGAAGAAAAAAACGUGAAAGGGGAAGGGGAAUGGGACUGGCAGCAACUUUAGUGGUUUCCGAGGUCGGGGUUUGGUUUGUUUUGGGUCUGUUGGUGUGUUGUUUCUGGUGGUUGUUUGCUGCUGGAGUUGGUAGAGAAUUGGUGGGUUUGAGGUUUCAGGCGAGGGAGAGGUCUGGUCGGAGAAGAAGAACUGAAAGGCAGUGAAGGUUAGUAGUCGUUUCUGGUAGUUGGAGAAGAAACGGGAAAGGAGGUGGUUGUUCCUCAACGUGAGAGAGAGUACUGGAGGUAGGGGUUGUUUCUGGUCAGGGAAUGGUUGGAGAAGAAGAGCAAAAUGGGUCCGUUUUGGUUGGGGUUUGGUGACUGCCGGAAAAAGGAGAAAAUGAACGGGGUUUUGGUGGUGGAUUCGCCGGAAUCCGGUGGAACUCCGGUGACUUGCCGGAAAAAUAAGGAACAAUGAAAAAAUAAAAAAUCUCUAAAUUACACCCCUAAAAAUCUAAUCC
RNAcentral lists this long non-coding RNA (880 nucleotides) under Solanum tuberosum (potato). RNAcentral describes it as "long non-coding RNA (STUB_LNC008162)". The record is from RNAcentral. Lineage: Eukaryota; Viridiplantae; Streptophyta; Magnoliopsida; Solanales; Solanaceae.